Molecule: long non-coding RNA, 762 nt
Filed under: Homo sapiens (human)
Lineage: Eukaryota; Metazoa; Chordata; Mammalia; Primates; Hominidae
Description: HSALNT0018314
Source: RNAcentral
UGGACUGAUAGGUUUCCAGAGACUCUCAGCCAGCCUGGAUAGUGACCUUUUGCAGGUGGAGCUGGUCAGUUUUGAGGCCUUUCCGUGGAAGUUCUGAAAGCAGAGGUCCCGCCCCUGGAAAUCCCCCAGCCUACGCCGGCUUGUUGUUGUCCUGCAGCCCUGUGGGAGCUGCCUGACCCUGGGGCAGGGUGCACGGACUUAGAUUAAGGCCAGAACCAAAGGUCAGCUUAACUGGAGUAGUAUCCAUGGGCUAUGCCCCUUUCUUUUUAGCUCUCUGAAGUGUGGAUGCUGCAGCAUCAGGUUUCUGAAGGGCAGGAAAGGGGAGCUGACGUCAGCAGAGCACCUAUGGAGCACCUGGCACUGUGCCAAGCAGCCUAGACUCCUCAUGACACAUGGGCUUUGAAGCACCUGUCCCCUGCCGGAUGGCAGAACAUCCCGUGUCUUCCAUCAGGUCCCAAUGGCGUGGCAUGAAUGAUGCAGACACAGGAAUAACAAUAAAAGCAUGUGGCUUUGUGCUUCUCUGGUGCCAUGUUCAUUUGGGCUCACGGUCUGCAUUUGGUGUAGUCACAGAGGACACAGAGAAUGGGCUAUUUUCUCUGCUGAGGACAAUACAGACUGGACUUGGGUUGAAUGCCUGCCUUUCCCUGGCUCUGUUCCUGGAGCCCGCUCAGAGUUGAGCUCCUCUCCCUGCUGAGUUCUUCCAGGCAGUGGCCCCCUCCCUCUACACUCUGGCCCUGAGGUGUGGUUAGCCCAAAAUCUGCC